This is a long non-coding RNA of Drosophila virilis, 1374 nucleotides long. RefSeq lists it as uncharacterized. The record is from RefSeq and is a predicted model, not a curated record. NCBI's taxonomy places the organism in Eukaryota, Metazoa, Arthropoda, Insecta, Diptera, Drosophilidae.
CUUGUGGAAACGAAAGAACUUGACAAAGAUCUGUGAGUCGUCCUCCUCUGAAAAUGAUAAAAGAGAGCACAGUCUAUAACAACCCUGCACCUUCUUUGAGCAGUUGGGCAAGCAGACGCUUCCAACCGUCGGAGAUUUGCUCAAACUCCUUGAUGCUCUCCAGUGGAUAGUAGAGCACAUCGGUGGGUCGACCGCUGCCGCCGAGCACCAAGCGGCCCGCAUGAUUCGAGUAAAAAUGCAGCUGUAACAUGCGGGGAGCGGUGCUGCGCGGUCUAGCGGGUGGCUUUAGAUGAGCCACAGCGAGGCACCAUCAGCUCAAUGGAGGCUGUCAAUUAACUGGAGCACACACAAUCGAAUUGAUUUCACAGCGCUAAUUGAAUGUUCAAUUUGCCGUUUAACAGCAGCCUAACAGAGGCUUUACAGAGACGCACCGUUCCACGCGCUUCUCACUGUUACCGUCUCUUGUUAUUCUAUUUGUUAUUCAGUUUAGCAACAACGACGACAACUGCUUGCUGUUAUAUCUAUGUGCGCGAAAGCUAGCGAUAAAUUUGCUUUUGGUCUGCAUUUCAAUAAAUUACAUUUAGACAUUUUAAUUAACAUUAAUUUAGCGUAGAAAUAAAAGUGUGUGGCAAGAACGAGCAACAGCCAAAAACAAAUUGACGAGCGCAAGAAUAGCUUCUACAAUUUUUGCAGCUACAAAAUGCUCUUAAUCAAAACAUUUUCUACGACCAUUUCACGCAAUUACCGCUAGUAGAGAGGCCCCUUAAAAGGGGCGACGUACGUGCUCUAUGUAUACGAAUAAACGUUGAGGCGUUUCAUAGGGUGUUUAUCAAAUAAAUUGAUGUCAUCUAUAGUAGAAUAUUCAAAAGCCCCUCCGCCAUCAACUGUCAUCGGCUGAUAAAUUGCAGAACCCGAAUCUGAACAAAAUAUUAUGCAUUGUCUGGGUAUUCGGAGCGCCUCUUUAACAAAAUUUAGGUAAAUAUUUGUGCCAAGAAAUUAAUUAGCCCGCGCAAACACUACUAACCCCUCUGUUUCUGACACGCGCGCUCAACAUAUCCCAGAAAAUAGCUGAAGAUGUACAAGUAUGCGAUAUUAAAAUUAAUAUAUUUAUGGCAAGUGCCUUUGACUUUGAGCCGAUGGAGAAGGAGGAAAACUAUUUGGCAAUUCGGAUAAUUUAGAUAUUUGGACAUCCAAAUGGAUCAACGUCAAGCCCCAAGGGGCUUCAGUACAUGAGAAUAUGGUAGAAGCAACAAUUGAAAAAUCACGUUCAAGCAAUGCCAUCGAUAAUUCUAUAUUUUGCUUUUGUAACGAUUAUCUAUAUUUAAUCAUUUUUGAUCAAUUUCGAAAUAUAAUUCCAUUCUAUACUUGAUUCAA